AGGGCACCACCAGGAGUGGAGCCUGCGGCUUAAUUUGACUCAACACGGGAAAACUCACCCGGCCCGGACACCGCAAGGAUUGACAGAUUGAGAGCUCUUUCUUGAUUCGGUGGUUGGUGGUGCAUGGCCGUUCUUAGUUGGUGGAGCGAUUUGUCUGGUUUAUUCCGAUAACGAGCGAGACUCUAGCCUACUAAAUAGUGACCGGAUAGCUUGGUCCGGGUCACUUCUUAGAGGGACAAGCGGUGUUCAGCCGCAAUAAGUUGAGCAGUAACAGGUCUGUGAUGCCCUUAGAUGUCCGGGGCUGCACGCGCGCUACACUGGAGGAAUCAGCGUGCUUGACCCAUUGCCGAAAGGCAUUGGUAAACCCUUGAAAAUCCUCCGUGAUCGGGAUCGGGAAUUGCAAUUAUUUCCCUUGAACGAGGAAUUCCCAGUAAGUGUGAGUCAUCAGCUCACGUUGAUUACGUCCCUGCCCUUUGUACACACCGCCCGUCGCUACUACCGAUUGAAUGUUUUAGUGAG
RNAcentral lists this ribosomal RNA (519 nucleotides) under uncultured eukaryote. Its description in RNAcentral is "SSU rRNA". It matches the Rfam family "Eukaryotic small subunit ribosomal RNA", at positions 1161 to 1705 of the family's 1831-position model. The record is from RNAcentral.